AGUGAAAGCGUGGGGAGUGAACAUGAUUAGAUAUCUUGGUACUCCACGCUGUAAACGAUGAGUGCUAAGUGUUAGGGGGUCUCCGCCCCUUAGUGCUGCAGAUAACGCAUUAAGCACUCCGCCUGGGGAGUACGGUCGCAAGACUGAAACUCAAAGGAAUUGACGGGGGCCCGCACAAGCGGUGGAGCAUGUGGUUUAAUUAGAAGCAACGCGAAGAACCUUACCAGGUCUUGACAUCCUCUGACAACCCUAGAGAUAGGGCUUUCCCUUCGGGGACAGAGUGACAGGUGGUGCAUGGUUGUCGUCAGCUCGUGUCGUGAGAUGUUGGGUUAAGUCCCGCAACGAGCGCAACCCUUGAUCUUAGUUGCCAGCAUUCAGUUGGGCACUCUAAGGUGACUGCCGGUGACAAACCGGAGGAAGGUGGGGAUGACGUCAAAUCAUCAUGCCCCUUAUGACCUGGGCUACACACGUGCUACAAUGGACAGAACAAAGGGCUGCAAGACCGCAAGGUUUAGCCAAUCCCAUAAAUCUGUUCUCAGUUCGGAUCGCAGUCUGCAACUCGACUGCGUGAAGCUGGAAUCGCUAGUAAUCGCGGAUCAGCAUGCCGCGGUGAAUACGUUCCCGGGCCUUGUACACACCGCCCGUCACACCACGAGAGUUUGCAACACCCGAAGUCGGUGAGGUAACCUUUAUGGAGCGCA
RNAcentral lists this ribosomal RNA (701 nucleotides) under Bacillus pumilus. RNAcentral's name for it is "bacterial SSU rRNA". It matches the Rfam family "Bacterial small subunit ribosomal RNA", at positions 752 to 1452 of the family's 1533-position model. The record is from RNAcentral. Lineage: Bacteria; Bacillati; Bacillota; Bacilli; Caryophanales; Bacillaceae.